UACGAAGGGGGCGAGCGUUGUUCGGAUUUACUGGGCGUAAAGCGCACGUAGGCGGAUUGUUAAGUGAGGGGUGAAAUCCCAGGGCUCAACCCUGGAACUGCCUUUCAUACUGGCAAUCUCGAGUCCGGAAGAGGUGAGUGGAACUCCUAGUGUAGAGGUGGAAUUCGUAGAUAUUAGGAAGAACACCAGUGGCGAAGGCGGCUCACUGGUCCGGUACUGACGCUGAGGUGCGAAAGCGUGGGGAGCAAACAGG
RNAcentral lists this ribosomal RNA (253 nucleotides) under uncultured bacterium. RNAcentral describes it as "partial 16S ribosomal RNA". It matches the Rfam family "Bacterial small subunit ribosomal RNA", at positions 524 to 776 of the family's 1533-position model. The record is from RNAcentral.